GAUGAACGCUAGCGGCAGGCCUAACACAUGCAAGUCGAGGGGGAAGUUACUUUCGGGUAACAGAGACCGGCGUACGGGUGCGUAACGCGUAUACAAUCUGCCUUUCACUGGGGGAUAGCCCGAAGAAAUUUGGAUUAAUACCCCAUAGUAUAGUAAUACGGCAUCGUGAUACUAUUAAAGCUUAGGUGGUGAAAGAUGAGUAUGCGUUCUAUUAGUUAGUUGGAGAGGUAACGGCUCCCCAGGGCGAUGAUAGAUAGGGGUUCUGAGAGGGAUGUCCCCCACACUGGUACUGAGAUACGGACCAGACUCCUACGGGAGGCAGCAGUGAGGAAUAUUGGACAAUGGUCGGAAGACUGAUCCAGCCAUGCCGCGUGCAGGAUGAAGGUCUUAUGGAUUGUAAACUGCUUUUGUAAGGGAAGAAUAAGGGCUACGUGUAGUUUGAUGACGGUACCUUACGAAUAAGCAUCGGCUAACUCCGUGCCAGCAGCCGCGGUAAUACGGAGGAUGCGAGCGUUAUCCGGAAUCAUUGGGUUUAAAGGGUCUGUAGGCGGGCUGGUAAGUCAGAGGUGAAAGCGCUCAGCUCAACUGAGCAACUGCCUUUGAAACUGUUGGUCUUGAAUGGUUGUGAAGUAGUUGGAAUGUGUAGUGUAGCGGUGAAAUGCUUAGAUAUUACACAGAACACCGAUAGCGAAGGCAUAUUACUAACAAUUGAUUGACGCUGAUGGACGAAAGCGUGGGGAGCGAACAGG
This 749-nucleotide ribosomal RNA is filed under the name Capnocytophaga ochracea. Its description in RNAcentral is "bacterial SSU rRNA". It matches the Rfam family "Bacterial small subunit ribosomal RNA", at positions 28 to 776 of the family's 1533-position model. The record is from RNAcentral. Lineage: Bacteria; Pseudomonadati; Bacteroidota; Flavobacteriia; Flavobacteriales; Flavobacteriaceae.